RNAcentral lists this unclassified non-coding RNA (256 nucleotides) under Hevea brasiliensis (rubber tree). Lineage: Eukaryota; Viridiplantae; Streptophyta; Magnoliopsida; Malpighiales; Euphorbiaceae. The record is from RNAcentral.
UCAAUACUCAUCUCUCUUAUUCUCUAUAGCUCUAAUUUCGAUCUGUUAGAAGAUGUCAGGCCGCGGAAAGGGGGGCAAGGGUCUGGGCAAGGGAGGAGCGAAGCGGCACAGGAAAGUUCUCCGGGAUAACAUCCAGGGAAUCACCAAGCCUGCGAUUCGUCGUCUGGCUCGCAGAGGUGGAGUCAAGAGGAUCAGUGGGUUGAUCUACGAGGAAACUCGAGGAGUCUUGAAGAUUUUCUUGGAGAAUGUGAUCCGU